UUAGGGAAAGGAAGGGAAAGGAGUCAAGCAUAAUGACAGACAAGCACCACCCCUGCCUGUUGUGAGGAUGAGAGAUUGGCAGCUCAGGGACUACCACUGCUCAUUAGGAUCCCAGGGAGGAAUUUCAUUCCCUACCUUGGAAGAGUAUAAAAGACCCUUUGUCUGGGUUAAAUAGAAGACUGACGGUGUGAUGGAGUGUGUACUGCAGUUCGGCUCACCAGCUUUGUUCUGUCUUCCCAGCAGCUGGAUGAGAUUUUGAUUUCAGAGGAAAAAGAGCGACCUAGGGCUGACCAUAUUGGACAGAGGGAGAAAGGAAAUUUACAACAGCCUCCCGUGUGUGGUGAGAG
Homo sapiens (human) is the source of this 347-nucleotide long non-coding RNA. RefSeq lists it as uncharacterized. Lineage: Eukaryota; Metazoa; Chordata; Mammalia; Primates; Hominidae. The record is from RefSeq and is a predicted model, not a curated record. The transcript is spliced from 3 exons.